GACCCCAGGCUUGUCUGACUGUCAAUGCUCAACAGUCCUGGGCAUGGCUAGCACUUGGAUGGGAGACCCCCUGAGAAUCCCAGGUGAAUGUAGUUA
Molecule: ribosomal RNA, 96 nt
Filed under: Pelodiscus sinensis (Chinese soft-shelled turtle)
Lineage: Eukaryota; Metazoa; Chordata; Testudines; Trionychidae
Source: RNAcentral